Molecule: ribosomal RNA, 108 nt
Filed under: Paenibacillus jamilae
Lineage: Bacteria; Bacillati; Bacillota; Bacilli; Caryophanales; Paenibacillaceae
Description: partial 16S ribosomal RNA
Rfam family: Bacterial small subunit ribosomal RNA
Source: RNAcentral
GUAACCGCAAGGGGCCAGCCGCCGAAGGUGGGGUAGAUGAUUGGGGUGAAGUCGUAACAAGGUAGCCGUAUCGGAAGGUGCGGCUGGAUCACCUCCUUUCUAUGGAGA